GCAUAGGAAUCUACCUAGUAGUAUGGAAUAGCCAUUAGAAAUGAUGGGUAAUACUGUAUAAUCCCUGCGGGGGAAAGAUUUAUCGCUAUUAGAUGAGCCUACGUUAGAUUAGCUAGUUGGUAAGGUAAUGGCUUACCAAGGCUAUGAUCUAUAGCUGGUCUGAGAGGACGAUCAGCCACACUGGAACUGAGAUACGGUCCAGACUCCUACGGGAGGCAGCAGUGGGGAAUAUUGGACAAUGGGCGAAAGCCUGAUCCAGCUAUGCCGCGUGAGUGAAGAAGGCCUUCGGGUUGUAAAACUCUUUCAAUAGGGAAGAUAAUGACGGUACCUAUAGAAGAAGUCCCGGCAAACUCCGUGCCAGCAGCCGCGGUAAUACGGAGGGGGCAAGCGUUGUUCGGAAUUAUUGGGCGUAAAGGGCACGUAGGUGGACUAGUAAGUUAAAAGUGAAAUACCAAAGCUCAACUUUGGAGCUGCUUUUAAUACUGCUAGACUAGAGGUCGAAAGAGGAUAGCGGAAUUCCUAGUGUAGAGGUGAAAUUCGUAGAUAUUAGGA
RNAcentral lists this ribosomal RNA (552 nucleotides) under Ehrlichia ewingii. RNAcentral's name for it is "bacterial SSU rRNA". It matches the Rfam family "Bacterial small subunit ribosomal RNA", at positions 115 to 702 of the family's 1533-position model. Lineage: Bacteria; Pseudomonadati; Pseudomonadota; Alphaproteobacteria; Rickettsiales; Anaplasmataceae. The record is from RNAcentral.